AUUGAACGCUGGCGGAAUGCUUUACACAUGCAAGUCGAACGGCAGCACGGACUUCGGUCUGGUGGCGAGUGGCGAACGGGUGAGUAACAUAUCGUAACGAAUCCAAUAAUGGGUGAUAACGAGUAGAAAGAUUAGCUAAUACCGCAUACGCCCUACGGGGGAAAGCUGCGGACCUUCAGGCCUGGCGUUAAUGGAGCGGCCGAUAUCUGAUUAGCUAGUUGGUGAGGUAAAGGCUCACCAAGGCGACGAUCAGUAGCUGGUCUGAGAGGACGACCAGCCACACUGGAACUGAGACACGGUCCAGACUCCUACGGGAGGCAGCAGUGGGGAAUUUUGGACAAUGGGCGCAAGCCUGAUCCAGCCAUUCCGCGUGAGUGAAGAAGGCCUUCGGGUUGUAAAGCUCUUUCGCAAGGGAAGAAAACUUAGCCACUAACAUUGGUUGAGGUUGACGGUACCUUGAUAAGAAGCACCGGCUAACUACGUGCCAGCCGCCGCAGUAA
This 500-nucleotide ribosomal RNA is filed under the name uncultured bacterium. RNAcentral's name for it is "partial 16S ribosomal RNA". It matches the Rfam family "Bacterial small subunit ribosomal RNA", at positions 30 to 523 of the family's 1533-position model. The record is from RNAcentral.